CAAUGGGCGCAAGCCUGACCCAGCAACGCCGCGUGAGGGAAGAAGGUCUUCGGAUUGUAAACCUCUGUCCUUGGGGACGAAAAAAAUGACGGUACCCGAGGAGGAAGCUCCGGCUAACUACGUGCCAGCAGCCGCGGUAAUACGUAGGGAGCAAGCGUUGUCCGGAAUUACUGGGCGUAAAGGGUGCGUAGGCGGCUAGGCAAGUCAGAUGUGAAAUCCCCGGGCUUAACUCGGGUGGUGCAUUUGAAACUGCUUAGCUUGAGUGCAGGAGAGGAAAGCGGAAUUCCUAGUGUAGCGGUGAAAUGCGUAGAUAUUAGGAGGAACACCAGUGGCGAAGGCGGCUUUCUGGACUGUAACUGACGCUGAGGCACGAAAGCGUGGGGAGCAAACAGGAUUAGAUACCCUGGUAGUCCACGCUGUAAACGAUGGAUACUAGGUGUGGGGGAGAUACAACCUCCGUGCCGCAGCAAACGCAAUAAGUAUCCCGCCUGGGGAGUA
This 498-nucleotide ribosomal RNA is filed under the name uncultured bacterium. RNAcentral's name for it is "bacterial SSU rRNA". It matches the Rfam family "Bacterial small subunit ribosomal RNA", at positions 369 to 882 of the family's 1533-position model. The record is from RNAcentral.